UCUGUAAAGAAAAAAAAAAAAAUGUAUAAAACCUCCCCAAAAGUAAAAGAUCAGCAUUCUGAAGACAAAUCAAACUGCCACCCUCUGAGACAAUUUCCUAAAUAUGGAGAUGUCACCAGAAAAUCCUGAUCACUUUCAGUAAAUAGCAAGUAUUCUGCUACUGUCACCAUGCAUUUAUAUAGCACUUCCUUGAAGGAAUGAACAUAUUUCACAGCCCUCACUUUAUGGACCAGAGGACAGUGAAAUCCCCCAACCCCCAAACUUGCUUGCCCUCACAAUGUCAGCCUGUGUACUCUGUAUCCUUGAUCCUUGGGCCCACAAUGUUCAGCCUGAGUUUACUGUCGUGUCUUUUUCCAGUCCUUUCCUCUGCUGGAAGUCCUAGUGAUUGCUAGAAUAACAAGGUAAGAAAAGCAAAUCAAGAAGAAACAAACAGAAUAUUCUAUUUCUGAGAAACCAAAAGUGGAUUGUAACUGUAUCCAUCUUUACAUCAUCCCAAGAGGUGACUGAGUGGUUUUCAAAAUGAGGAAGAACACAGGUACACGUGACCCACUUAGACCACAUAACCAGUGGAGGGAACAGCAGUUUCUACGUCUUCUGAACCAAGCAAGCUAGGCUCAGCUGGCCCUGCCUGUCAUCCUGCUCCAUGAAAGCAAUAAGCUGGGUUGACUCAUCAAGGAAUCUUAUUUGAAGAAGACUCUACUGUCUCUCCCCCCGCCCCCACCCCCGCCUGGACCGUCAACUCCAUGAGUCAGGGGCCAUGCUGUCCUGUUCACUCUGUAACUAGAGCUAAGUCAGUGCUGGGCCAUGGCAGCUACUUGCCAAUGCUGCUAUUCUGCUCAUGCUAAAACAGGGCAGAGGCCACCUCAGCAGCCAACGCUUGACUACAGAUAAAAGCAAAAGCAGGCAGCAUGAAGAGGAAGGUCUGCUUAACUUAUGGAAAAGUAUUCAAACCUCCACAAUGCUACACAAAUCGCUGGGGAAGUAGAAACCGCUAUCCAGCCCAAAUCAGUGCUGUGAUGAAGCCUCUCCAAGCUGAAACUGUACUCCACUGGGGAGUCCAUGGUUUCCGCACAUAAUCGGAAAUGCACAUGAAAAUCUGUGAUCGUGACCUGGUGAGCUACAGACAGAGGGCUGAAGAACAAUCGAUCAAUAAAAAGUGACAUAUGGGUGUCUGCUUUGGUUCUUCAGAUCAGAAGCCGGCUUUUCAGGAAAAACACACACAAAAAAACAAACACAAAAUAUUCUAGGUAACAUCUUCUUAGUUUUUCUGUGAGACAGGCAAAUACUAAGCCUGACACAAAUCUCAGAAGUCUGUAGUGAAUGUGGCAUCUGGUUUUCUCAGAAAAACAGUGGGCCAGUAAUUCCCUUAUAUAAGAACUGUAUUAAGAGCAAGGCAGAAAGGCCACUGCAUUAGGGGACUCAUAAGGUCCUUUUCAAAGGCAACAAGCAAGCCUUCAACUCAUCACUACUCUCUCCAUCAGGCAGAGCUAAACUUCAUGACACAGUGCGCCAGGUCUCCUGGCCAACUGUCCCUUCAGAGAUCGCUAAAGCAGCAGGAACAACUGGUCCUGUCUUUUGGAUAAUACCAGCCUGUCUUUACAGCUCUGUGCCGGGAAGCAUCCUUUUCACAUUUUAAUCAAAUUUCCCAAAGCAUUCAAUUACACCAGAACUAAUGCCAGGUCAGCUCUUAGACACUAGCGGGAACCCUCCACUGUUAAUGGGCCUGUCAGCUGGUCAAUGCUGGUGUGAGGCAAAGCAGGGGAUCAAUCGCCCGCCUCAUUGCCAGCUCUAGGAAGGAACUCCGAUUUACCCUUGCAUCAGGCCCUGGAAGGAAUGUGCCCCAAAGCUGUGUGUUACAUUCUGCCUUCAGAAAUGAUAAAAUGUCAGAACAUCCAGUUGGAAUAAGAUGAAGGCUGAUUCUCAACUGCCACACCCAGGGAACCUGAUGACAGACAGGACUAUAUUUAGAAGUUGGAUGAAACCAGAUAAAGACAGCUGCCCAGCAGCAGAUUCAGAGAAGAAAGCCCACAAAGUAAAAUUUGAGGAACAGCUGGUUAUGUGGCUGGAUGACCCGGCAGCAAGGCGACCCCAGAUUAGCAGUUCCAAGCAGUUAAAAGGCUCUCAGGAGUAUUUCUAGAAGACUCGGGAGACACGGAGAUCAGCAGACAGACACAUAGCUGCUGCUAGUGAUAUUAAUAAUAAUUAAUAAUAAUAAUACAUUUUAACAGCAAUAAUAGGUGUCAGGCACUGUUUUAGGUGCUUUACAUUAACUCGUUUAAUUCCAACAAUGACACUACGAGGCAAGUAGCAGAAUUCUCUUUUACAAAUGGGGACACUGAAGCACUAACUUGUUAGCCAGAGGUCACACAGCAUGAAAGUGGUAGAGUUGGGAUUUCAACAUCCAUGCUCCACUGCCUCUGAUGAAGGAAAAGGCAUGUCCUUGCCUUCCUGGGGACUGAGACCGAGCACCAGUGCUAGGCACAAUGUGAAGCAACUUGUUCAUCAAAAGAAUGAUCUUUCCCACCACUUCCAUUGUUUUAUUUGAUACCAGCCAGCUGUUUAAGGUUCUUAACAUAUUAAGAAUGUUACAAAGGCCCUUGGCAAUUAGCUUAGAAAAUGGGAAGUUCACGUUCUGCCUUUGCCAGUGUAUGACCACGUGGCACUCUCUGCUGUGGCAUGAAGCACACCUGUUCCCAGAUCACAGAGGAAGACAGUGUCUCCCACUCCACAGCAGCCAGAGCUCCCCCAACUUCUCUUCUGCAUCCCCUCCUCACCCUCUCCUGAGAGAAGUUACAGUGAGUACAUCCAAACAAAGACAAUGUCCAAUUCUGAAAUACCUCCCCACAUUACAAAAUAAAUUCCAUUAUCACUCCUAUAGUUUUGAUAUUAAGUGUAUUGUACGUAAUUGCAUUCUAACUCCUUUACUAUGGGUAAAAAAACCUCAUUUGUGGGUUUAUACCUAACUGGGCAGAUCGUGCCUAUAGUGGGAGUGGCAGAUUGUACAGGAUGCCCCACUUCUAGGGACCGAGCAACAGUGGCUUCAACUGGGCGAGGCUCUCGCAUGGCGGAUGUAUCAUUUUGUGGAGGUGCAAACAUGAAGUGCAUCGACCAUUUGGCAGGGGUGUUGGGAUGAGCAGCCGCUGAGCAUUUCUGGAGAUACCUAGCAUGUACAUAUCCAUGGGGGCUCUGCAGUUCCCUCAUUUCCCUGUGAAUCUGGCCAUUCUUACAACGUGAGAAAAACAGAACACACCCACCAACUCUGUGAAGAAUGGCCCAGGAAAUAACACGUUAGUGUUGGGAUGGAAAUGGAAAUUAGGUAAGGGGACAGAGUGGUGGUUCCAGGGCAGGAAGCAGAAGUCAUGGCCAGAUUAAGGACUGCAAUGUACAGUGGGGCGGCGACUUGGAUCUGUGCUGUGAAUGAAUCCACCCUCUGCUUUUCAUGGAAACAAGAACUGACUGCAGACAUCUUUCAGCGAGUGAACAGAAAAGAAAAAAAACUCAUCCUGGAGUCUUCAGUGGGGAAAAACAAAAGGCAGUCAAUUGGUGGUGUGAGGUUGGCUUAGGGGAUACCAUUUUCCACGUGAGUAUGUAAGAAGGAAGCCAGAAUCCUGAAUUAUCAUUGCCACUUUCAAGAAUAUAGGGAUCUCUGCCGAAACCGGUUUGGCUCAGUGGAU
This is a long non-coding RNA of Myotis myotis, 3674 nucleotides long. RefSeq lists it as uncharacterized. NCBI's taxonomy places the organism in Eukaryota, Metazoa, Chordata, Mammalia, Chiroptera, Vespertilionidae. The record is from RefSeq and is a predicted model, not a curated record. The transcript has 3 exons.